This 403-nucleotide ribosomal RNA is filed under the name uncultured bacterium. Its description in RNAcentral is "partial 16S ribosomal RNA". It matches the Rfam family "Bacterial small subunit ribosomal RNA", at positions 29 to 526 of the family's 1533-position model. The record is from RNAcentral.
AUUGAACGCUGGCGGCAGGCCUAACACAUGCAAGUCGCGCGAGCGGCGGACGGGUGAGUAAUGUAUGGGGACUGCCCGAUAGAGGGGGAUAACUACUGGAACCGGUAGCUAAUACCGCAUACUAUCGGAUAACCCGUAUGGGAUGAGCUAGUAGGUGAGGUAAUGGCUCACCUCGGCGACGAUCCCUAGCUGGUCUGAGAGGAUGAUCAGCCACACUGGGAUGGGAAGAGGGCCCAGACGCCUACGGAGGCAGCAGUGGGGAAUAUUGCGCAAUGGGGGCAAGCCCGAUGCAGCCAGGCCGCGUGGGGGAUGAAGGCUUUGGGGUUGUAAACCUCUUUCGCUAUCGAACGGGUAGGUGGAGAAGAAGCGCAGGCUAACUACGUGCCAGCAGCCGCGGUAAUUC